GAUGAACGCUAGCUACAGGCUUAACACAUGCAAGUCGAGGGGCAGCAUGACCUAGCAAUAGGUUGAUGGCGACCGGCGCACGGGUGAGUAACACGUAUCCAACCUGCCGAUUAUUCCGGGAUAGCCUUUCGAAAGAAAGAUUAAUACUGGAUAGCAUAACGAGAAGGCAUCUUCUUGUUAUUAAAGAAUUUCGAUAAUCGAUGGGGAUGCGUUCCAUUAGUUUGUUGGCGGGGUAACGGCCCACCAAGACAUCGAUGGAUAGGGGUUCUGAGAGGAAGGUCCCCCACAUUGGAACUGAGACACGGUCCAAACUCCUACGGGAGGCAGCAGUGAGGAAUAUUGGUCAAUGGACGAGAGUCUGAACCAGCCAAGUAGCGUGAAGGAUGGCUGCCCUAUGGGUUGUAAACUUCUUUUAUAGGGGAAUAAAGUGGGCCACGUGUGGCUUUUUGUAUGUACCAUACGAAUAAGGAUCGGCUAACUCCGUG
Molecule: ribosomal RNA, 485 nt
Filed under: uncultured bacterium
Lineage: Bacteria
Description: partial 16S ribosomal RNA
Rfam family: Bacterial small subunit ribosomal RNA
Source: RNAcentral